This 256-nucleotide long non-coding RNA is filed under the name Elaeis guineensis (African oil palm). Its description in RNAcentral is "long non-coding RNA (EGUI_LNC057824)". The record is from RNAcentral. Lineage: Eukaryota; Viridiplantae; Streptophyta; Magnoliopsida; Arecales; Arecaceae.
ACACAAGCCUUCCUCACACCCCAAAGUUUCUCUCCUAAAAUUUCUACGCACGUCCCACCUUUCUCCUCUUUUUAAAACAACGUCGAACGUAUCUUAUCCGCGUGAGAGGAUAAAGAUAAGUGGUUGCACAUUUGAAUUCAAAUCAAAUUUGAAUUCAAACAAAAACCAACUUAUCCCUAUCCUUUUGGGCAUGAGAAGAGAAGGGGUGUGGCUCUUUGUGCAUGGAAAAUGUUUCACGAGAAACCUUUUCUCGUGU